RNAcentral lists this ribosomal RNA (390 nucleotides) under Triticum aestivum (bread wheat). Its description in RNAcentral is "partial small subunit ribosomal RNA". The record is from RNAcentral. Lineage: Eukaryota; Viridiplantae; Streptophyta; Magnoliopsida; Poales; Poaceae.
AUGCACGAGCUGAGCCCAAUGCCUGCACCCACCUCUGCACCACACGUACAGUUUCGCGUGGGGGGUCACGAACCCCCUCGCCAUAACUCCCGAAUUUGCUUUCCUCUCGUGCCCAACACUGCUCCUCCCAUCCCCUCUGCUCGACCUCGGAUUCGUCGCCGCCGCCGUCUUCUCAUCCUCGCCGCCGCCGCCGCCGCCGCCGCCUCCUCGUCCUCGCCGCCGCCUCCUCCUCAUCCUCGCCGCCGCCUCCUCAUCCUUGUCGCCGCUGCCGUCCCUUUUCGCCGGCUGUCGUCGACGGGAGAUACACAGGGGAAGGAGCCGAGCUCGAUCCGCCGCAGGAUCGAUGAAUCCUUGCCAGGUUCACCGGACCUGGUGUGGUUGAGCCGUUGA